This 1104-nucleotide long non-coding RNA is filed under the name Monodelphis domestica (gray short-tailed opossum). RNAcentral describes it as "lncRNA (ENSMODG00000044720.1)". Lineage: Eukaryota; Metazoa; Chordata; Mammalia; Didelphimorphia; Didelphidae. The record is from RNAcentral.
AUCGAAGGUAAUGGACUUCUGCAUUAGUGGCAAUACAGUGAUCCUGAACACCUAGGAGGAAUUUAUGAGAAAAACCACUAUCCACACCCAGAGGAAACAGUGUGGGAGUAAAAAUACCAAAGAAAAACAACUGCUUGAAUACAUGGGUCUUAGGGAUAUGGUUGGGGAUGUAGACUCUAAAUGAACAUCCUAGUGUAAACAACAUGAAAAAUGGGUUCUGAUCAAGGACACAUGUAAUACCCAAUGAAAGUGUGUGUUGGUUGUGGGAAGAGUGGGAGGAGGGGAGAGAGGGAAAUAAUGUGAUUAUUAUAACCAAGGAAUAAUGUUCUAAAUUGACUAAACUCCUUCAAAUGAAAAAAUAAGGAAACUGAGUCUGAAAGAGUUUAAUAAGGAAGAGAAGCAGAGGCAUAGGUGAGAGAAUAGCAAUAAACCAGGGAUGAGGGGAUCCCUGGUGACAAAGAGGACACUGGAUUCUCUCUGUGGUCAAGGAGAGAUGGCAGUGAGAGGGGUAAAUUCACUCAGUUACCCAACUUCCUCUUAGGAGAGUACAGUGUCAAGGGUGACAAGCCUCACCUGGCUAAGAGUGAGGUUUGUUUGGGCCCAAUUGUCAUAGCAACAAGGGAAUGUUUGGUAACAGAGCCAGUGACUUCACAGAAGCUGGAUUUAAUUCCACAUUUCUGAAGCUCAGGGAAGAGCAGAGCCAGCCAGGGGAGAAUGUGGAGGCAGAAGAAGACAAUAGUUGCCUUGGAAGAGCUGUGACUACUAGAAAAGUACUGUCCUGGUACUGUACUAACUUUCAAAUAAGAAAAUAGAACUCUGGGGGCACCUGAGUAUCAAGCUGCAGACUAGGAAAUGAGAUGAAGGUUUGGUUCCAGGUGUCAAUUUUGGAAAACACACAAACACUAAAGCAGUUAGAAAGGCCAAGUCUUUAAUCGGGACCAGAGUGUGCUCAAGAUUCCUCGACCACCCAGAGUCAAGAACUUCAUACCACACAGAGUCAAAGCUCUGAGACUCUGGGAACAGUGUCUCUUGGAAAAUAUUCCCCAACCCAGAAAUUUUCCAAAGAGUAAUAAAACUUGAGGGUCUUAUAUAGCUGUUGGGGAA